RNAcentral lists this ribosomal RNA (306 nucleotides) under uncultured Bacteroidota bacterium. Its description in RNAcentral is "bacterial SSU rRNA". It matches the Rfam family "Bacterial small subunit ribosomal RNA", at positions 28 to 329 of the family's 1533-position model. The record is from RNAcentral. Lineage: Bacteria; Pseudomonadati; Bacteroidota.
GAUGAACGCCAGCGGCAGGCCUAAAUACAUGCAAAGUCGAACGAGGCGUUUUUCUUCGGAGAAACUGAAAGUGGCGCACGGGUGCGUAACGCGUAUGCAACCUACCCUUAACAGGGGGAUAGCCCAGAGAAAUUUGGAUUAAUACCCCAUAGUAACUACAAGAUGGCAUCUGAAAGUAGUUAAAGAUUUAUCGGUUAAGGAUGGGCAUGCGUGACAUUAGAUAGUUGGUGAGGUAACGGCUCACCAAGUCCACGAUGUCUAGGGGGUUCUGAGAGGAUGAUCCCCCACACUGGUACUGAGACACGG